Molecule: long non-coding RNA, 1921 nt
Organism: Oncorhynchus nerka (sockeye salmon)
Lineage: Eukaryota; Metazoa; Chordata; Actinopteri; Salmoniformes; Salmonidae
Exons: 3
Source: RefSeq, a predicted model, not a curated record
AUUCCUAAAAAUAGUCUGAAUUAAUCUAAAAUGAAUCAAGAAACCUGUCUUUAAUUUUGACAUUUUCAGAAGAAGUCUCAGUCGCAGAAUUUUACAUCUAACUAAAAUGUUUGGUGCAGUAUUUCUCAAGUGAAAAGAUGUGCAUGAAAACUAGGCGUCUCUUGUUGAGACAUCAAACUAGAGGUUUUCACGGAUCCACCUGUACCCAAAUAUCCGAGACCGGAUCCAGAAUUCUAAAUAAUGUCACAGGUCUGGGCCGGAUCUGAUAUGAUUGUCAUGGGUCUCAGGUAUGUGUAAUUUUAACUGACUUGUCUGGAAGGGCCCAUGAAGAUCCAAACGUGACUGCUGCAGUAGAGAGAGAUAAUAAUUUAUGCUGCUGCUCUUGCUUUUCACGAGAGUGGAGCGUGGCGCAUGUAGCGUGUUGUUGGCCAAUCAAGAGUCAUCAAAGCAGCAAUAGGCUACAGUCACAGAGUCUUUGUGUGUGGCAAAAGUUACGAGAUCUCUAAUCAAUGGAUGAUGUAAUUAAAAUGACAGAAUUAUAUGUUUGAGAAGGAUAGGCUACAAUGACCAAGAGCCAACAGUCAAGACAGGUACUACCUAUGUAACGUUUGACGUCUGGGGAAGGAGAGGAGGACCAAGGUGCAGCGUGCUAUCCUCAGCCAAGCAGACGUCCCAGCUCAUGGUGCAGCACUUCUUCUGAAUCCAUGGACUUCCGGUGGACAUGGUCUCCGACUGGGGCCAUCUCCAAGAUUCUUAGCCCCUCUGCUGUUCAUCUUCUGUUGCCCCGUACCCUCCUUAUACAUCCCACUUUUCAUGUGUCUACGAUUUAACUUAUGUCUCACAGCCCUUUGUCUCCUGUUUCCAGUCCCACCCCUCUCCCCUGUCUCGACGGCCAACCGGCGUAGACAGUGAGGCGCCUCCUGAAGGUUUGGCCGCGGGGUAGGGGAUUCCAGUACCUCGUUGACUGGGAGGGUUAUGGCCCAGAGAAGAGGUGCUGGGUACCCGCUAGGGUUAUCCUGGACCCAGCCCUCAUCGCUGAGUUCCACCGCCGGCAUCCCAGUCAACCGGGUAUGCGUCAACCAGGUGGAGUCCUUAGGGGGGUGGUUUACUGUUACACUCUGAUCUGUUUCACCUGUCUUUGUGCUUGUCUCCACCCCCCUCCAGGUGUCGCUCAUCUUCCCUACUAUCCCCUGUGCAUUCAUUCCUGUUCUGUUUGUCUGUUGCCAGUUUGUCUUGUCUCAUUCAAGCCUACCAGCGUGUUUUUCAUAUUCCUGUUUUCUUGAGCUCCUGUAUUCUAGUUAUCCCGGUUUUGAUGAUUCUGCCUGCCCUAACCCUGAACCUGCCUGCCGUUCUGUACCUUUUGAUACUGCCCUGUAUACCUCUGCCUACCCUUGACCUGUCGUUUGCUGUUUUAUAAAUAUAUGUCUGUUAUUCAAACUUUCUGGGUCUUAUCCUGAGUCGUGAUAGCUGUGGACAUCCUAGAGCAAAACAAUCAACAUGUACGUCUUCUUGAGAGUUACUGUAUAUAUUAGUGUGUUACCCAAACUGUUGUGACGUGUCAUGACGUGGCCCUUUCUCAGUGUAGAUCAUGGCUCCCCCUUUCUCAAUCUCUCUCCUAACCCAGGUUUAUUACCUUUGGUUGUAAAUACCGGGCAGAAACCACCAUGCAGUGUUGAGGGAGAGAAUUUCCCAGAACAGAGACUUGGCCAAACUUCUAAUCCCCAAAAUGGGAGAAUUAAACAAUAUUGCUACUUUUGAGAAUGUGGUAAUAGUCUGUGGACAGUUAAGGGACAGUUAUGACGAGUUGUUUCAUUUGAUGAUCUCAUGCAGAACAGGAAACACACAUAACGGUAUCUCUUCAAGUGUAUAUUUCCCAGCUGUCAGGUUUAAAGGCACUGUAAUAUUAAAUGUUAAAUAUUGU